Molecule: ribosomal RNA, 369 nt
Filed under: uncultured bacterium
Lineage: Bacteria
Description: bacterial SSU rRNA
Rfam family: Bacterial small subunit ribosomal RNA
Source: RNAcentral
GAAGGGGGCUAGCGUUGCUCGGAAUUACUGGGCGUAAAGGGCGCGUAGGCGGACAGUUAAGUUGGGGGUGAAAGCCCGGGGCUCAACCUCGGAAAUGCCUUCAAUACUGGCUGUCUUGAGUACGGGAGAGGUGAGUGGAACUCCGAGUGUAGAGGUGAAAUUCGUAGAUAUUCGGAAGAACACCAGUGGCGAAGGCGACUCACUGGCCCGUUACUGACGCUGAGGCGCGAAAGCGUGGGGAGCAAACAGGAUUAGAUACCCUGGUAGUCCACGCCGUAAACGAUGAGUGCUAGUUGUCGGCAUGCAUGCAUGUCGGUGACGCAGCUAACGCAUUAAGCACUCCGCCUGGGGAGUACGGUCGCAAGAUUA